GCAAAAUAGGAAUUUAUUUUAGAUUUAGGGGAAUCUUUAACCAUGUCUCUGAUUAAAACUUUUGAUUGUAACAUCACAAGUUAUUUAAUUAAAUAUUCUGUAUACGGGUAUAGUUUAAGCAAUGACCUGAGCCAUUACCUUCGGAGCCGUCAAUACUACAUUCUUUAGACGAUAGUCUAAACUAAAUAAAUUUUUAAACGGUUCAGGAAUUCCGUGAAUCUUUUCAUAACCUGCACUAUAGUUUCACGCGUAUUAAAGAUCCGGCGGUGCCUGACAAAGCGCCGGGUGAGUGUUCAUAUAUGCCAUUUUAAAAUAAUGUUAAUAAAUGUAAUUCUGUCCACUAUGGCAAAAUAGGAUUUUAUUUUAGAUUUAGGGGAGUCUUUAACCAAGUCUCUGACUAAGACAUGUGUAUACGUGCACAGAUGGUGACAGAGAAACUUACAUAUGACGUUAAUAAACUUUUAAAUGUUUUUAAGACGUAUUCACCCCAUUUUGGGGUUUUAUUUUUAAUUAAAGGCUUCUUAAAACAUGUGUGAAUAUGUGUAUAUUAUACAAAGAGUCUUAUAUUGUCUGCUCUGACAAAAAUAAAGUAUUUUUUAGGUUUAGGGGAAUUGACUGCGUGUGUCUUAUAAAUACAACUUGAUAAUACGUUUGUUUUGUAAAGAGACUUCUUUAAAGUCACGCAAGAAUAAAAUAUUUUAGUUGUAACUGGUUAAACUUAAAGCCGAUAUUUUCUAUCGAACUAGUCUAUUUUCUGUUCAGACACAAAGUUUUCUGAUGCUGAUAUUAUGUCAGUGUGUGUUUGUGUGGGGGUCGUGUGAUGUAAUCUUUGAAAGUUUAUGACCGAACCUUUAUUGGGGAGCGACAAGAGAUCUCCCGGAAUCAGUUUGGAUGGAGCAGAGCUGUUAUACUCAAGUCUAUUGGUAUGUAUGUGUUUCGCUGUGUUCGUGCCAGUAUUUUGUAUGAUUUAUUUAAAAACUAAAAAUUCGAUCUCUGGUAUUGCAGCGAAAUUGUCUAAACUGGUAUUAACUAUUCCUGGUAAAUCGCGGAGAAGAGUGGCCUGAACAAAAAAGUCAGACCGAGACUAGAACCUCCCGCAGCGUAACACGGAAAUCUUGGAACAAAAGAGACGCCGACUGGCUCGUGUUGUCCGGUUUGGAUAUCAGAGGCAAAGCGAACGUUGUGUGUACUAUUGCAAAAUAUAUAGCGGAUCUCCACGGUUAGGAUACAGACCACAACGCUUUGGACGUAUCUUUAAAAAAGAUUAAAAUCAGAGACUUUUUGGAUUUGUCUGGGGACAUUUUAAACAUUUUGUGGCAAAUUGGAUUUAAAACAUUUCGGAUACUGGAUACCUAGUUUGAUUUGUCCACAGAGCUUGUUUAAGACGUUUUCACCGCAUUUUAGGGUUUAUUUUUAAUCAAAGGCUUCUUAAAACAUGUGUGAAAAUGUGUAUAUUAUACAAUGAGUCUUAUAUUGUCUGCUCUGACAUAAAUAAAUUUUUAUAUUAGAUUUUAGAUCAAUUGACUGUGUGUGUUUUAUGUCAAGCGUAUGCUGUUAUGUUUAAUGACGGCUCGUGUGACAGCUUGUGUUUAGGCAUUUGAUGUCAGAUAUCACCCUUCCUCCCUCCUUUCGCACAAGACCUGCAUUCUUUCACAGGGGUGCGUGUUGUAAAGCGAUUAAAGAUUUCUAAAACUCAAUGUUGGUAAAACAAUCCCCCAUUACGGUGUCAAAAAAGUAAAAUGUUUAUUUUAGAUUUAGACAAAUCAUGAACAAUGCUACGAUUAAAACAUUUGUUUGUAACAUCACAAGUUAUUUAAUGAAAUAUUCCGUAUACGUGUAUAG
Paramisgurnus dabryanus is the source of this 1842-nucleotide non-coding RNA. Lineage: Eukaryota; Metazoa; Chordata; Actinopteri; Cypriniformes; Cobitidae. The record is from RefSeq and is a predicted model, not a curated record.